Non-coding RNA from Siniperca chuatsi (mandarin fish), 1221 nucleotides. The record is from the annotation of a RefSeq genome assembly. NCBI's taxonomy places the organism in Eukaryota, Metazoa, Chordata, Actinopteri, Centrarchiformes, Sinipercidae.
GGAAACACCAUGAUAUGUUGAGGACAGCUACAGUUCACUGACUCUGUGUGUUUGCAUAUCUGUCCUGCCUCUCUGCUCCCAGCCGUUAAGAGGCCAGUGUUGAUCAGUGGCUGUCCAGGCCUUUCAGAGCCACUGACACGCCGGCAGCACAAUGAUGAUGUCACUGAUUCCACUGCUGGCCACCCUGGGGCUCCUUGUUCAGGGUUCAUCAGGACAAAUCAUCCUGACUCAGUCUCCUGGAUCUCAGUCUGUUGUUCCAGGACAGACUGUCUCUCUCAGAUGUAAAACCAGUACGAGUGUUCAUAGUGAUGGUGUCAGCUACCUCCACUGGUACCUUCAGAAACCUGGAGAAGCUCCUAAACUCCUGAUUUAUCGAGCUACAGCCCGUCCGUCUGGAGUUCCAGGUCGUUUUAGUGGACAUGGAAAUGGACCGAGUGACUUCACUCUGACCAUCAGUGGAGUCCAGGCUGAAGAUUCAGGAGUUUACUACUGUCAGCAGAGUUACAGCAGCCCGUUCACACAGUGAUACAACGUCGUACAAAAACCUCCCUCAGCUGGAGAGGAACUGAUCUGACUCAACAGCUGCACUGAAACUAAAACAUUAGAAGCUUCUCUGAAAGAAAACUCAUGAUUGUGUUAAAAAGUUAUAUUUUUAUUGUGGAAAUAUUUUUCAUAGAAUUCAGCAGAGUAUUUUAUUAUUACUGACUAAAAAAAUGGUUCAACAAGGAACUGUAACACAAAACUCUGAAUCAUUUGUUCUGGAGAAAAUGUUUGAUCUUUGACUGAUUUGUUGAGGCGACCUCUUUUUUCAGACUCACUUAGAAAACUGAAUUAGUCAAGAAGAAACCAGAAUGUAACACAAAGUAAGCAGAGAAUUCAAACUGAAGGAUAAAUAGGUUAAUUAGCUAUUUAACACAUUCAAGAAAUGCAUACAAACAACAAAACAACACUUUAAAACAGUAAUGUUCUCUUUAGACCCAAAAUAUUUUACACUUUUGAUGAAGCAGAGAUAUACACUCAGUGUCCACUUUAUUAGGUACACCUGUAAAGCAAUCCAAUGCAAUCCAAUAGAAGCUUUCUGUCAUAGUUUACUUCAGUUUCAAGUUAUUUAUUGUCAAAUACACAACAGUUACAGUGAAGCAGUCAUUGGCAGUUAUCUUUUUAAAUAAUAUUUUUAGUUCUCAGACUCCGUCCAAGAAUGCUCAACGAAAAUCAUAAAAA